UACGUAGGGUCCGAGCGUUGUCCGGAAUUAUUGGGCGUAAAGGGCUCGUAGGCGGUUCGUCACGUCGGGAGUGAAAACUCGGGGCCUAACCCCGAGCCUGCUUCCGAUACGGGCAGGACUAGAGGUAGGCAGGGGAGAGCGGAACUCCUGGUGUAGCGGUGGAAAUGCGCAGAUAUCAGGAAGAACACCCGUGGCGAAGGCGGCUCUCUGGGGACGGUACUGACGCUGAGACGCGAAAGCGUGGGGAGCGAACAGG
RNAcentral lists this ribosomal RNA (256 nucleotides) under uncultured bacterium. RNAcentral's name for it is "partial 16S ribosomal RNA". It matches the Rfam family "Bacterial small subunit ribosomal RNA", at positions 524 to 776 of the family's 1533-position model. The record is from RNAcentral.